CUUGGUUCAGGACGAACGCUGGCGGCGUGCCUAAUACAUGCAAGUCGAACGGUCUUUCUAUGGAAGCUUGCUUCCACUGAGAAGAUAGUGGCGAACGGGUGAGUAACACGUGGGUAACCUGCCCAUAAGAGGGGGAUAACAUCCGGAAACGGGUGCUAAUACCGCAUAGUUUUCUUGGUCGCAUGAUCGGGAAAGGAAAGACGGCCUUUGUGCUGUCGCUUAUGGAUGGACCCGCGGCGUAUUAGUUAGUUGGUGAGGUAACGGCUCACCAAGACGAUGAUACGUAGCCGACCUGAGAGGGUGAUCGGCCACAUUGGGACUGAGACACGGCCCAAACUCCUACGGGAGGCAGCAGUAGGGAAUCUUCCGCAAUGGACGAAAGUCUGACGGAGCAACGCCGCGUGAGUGAAAGAAGGUUUUCGGAUCGUAAAACUCUGUUGUCAGAGAAGAACAAGUUGGAGAGUAACUGCUCCAGCCUUGACGGUAUCUGACCAGAAAGCCACGGCUAACUACGUGCCAGCCGCCGC
Molecule: ribosomal RNA, 527 nt
Filed under: uncultured bacterium
Lineage: Bacteria
Description: bacterial SSU rRNA
Rfam family: Bacterial small subunit ribosomal RNA
Source: RNAcentral